GACAUUGAAUAUUAUUCUAUCAGGUUCUUAUGGUUUUAGAUCAUUUUAGUUGUUGUACAAAGAUUAUUUUAACAUUUUCUCUGGAAGUAUUAAUUUAGAAAGAUAAUAUGCCUCAUUGGUGUUGUGUUUUGAAGUGUGAAAUGGAAAGUAAUCGUGAUAAAGUUAGCUUUUACCACUUACCAUCAGUGCUACAUUCUAAGCACAAAACUGAACCAAUUUAACUAAAUAAGUUAUAGUUAUCAUCUGAGAGACAACAACAAUGAUAAAAUGCAAUAAAAUAUUAAGAUUUUACUAGCAAAAUGGAAAUUCCCCUGUAAUCAUCUUAUAUCUGGAAAACCAGCUGAUAAUAACAAUCCAGAUUGGGUUCCUUCAAUAAAUAUGGGGUAUAUAAACACAAUGAAAUGAGUUUCCCAAAAUCUAAAAUGGGAAUUAAGGUACCAAAGGAGAAUUAAAAGAAAAGGGUACCUACAAGAAAAAAUUGCUUUUUUAUUCCUCUUGAAAUGAUUUAUAAGACACUGGACUGUCUUAUAUUCUACAAAUACUAGGUAGGUCUAUGAUUUUACACAUUUUUCAUUAAUGAUACAUUACUGUUACUUUAGUAGAUUUAGAAACAGUGGAUAGUUAGUGGUAGAUAGAGUUAUUUGGUAUAAAAGCUAGUUUAGUAGAAGACAAGAUUUUGCCAAAUAGUCAAACGUAUAUUACAAUGGAAAAAUUAACAAAUACAUUUUAUGUCAUUAACAUUAACACAGGAUUUUAAAUAUCAGCUUAAGAAAUUAGCUUUAUCUUGUGAAAGUAUAGAAAAUGAUGAUGCCAAAACUAAAAAUUAUACUGGUUUAGCCAAUUACAAUGUUUUUAAAAUAGCUUUAAAGUAUAUUACACCAUUUAUCAAAUACCAUCAAAAUACUGUUUUGUCACCAAGUGAUCAAGUAUUGCUUACUUUAGCUAAACUAAGCUUAAACUUAGAUUAUAAAGAUUUGGGAUAUAGGUUUAGUAUUUCACCCUACCCGGUAUCAACUUAUUUCAAAAAUACUUUGUAUAUAAUGUGUCUUAGGUUAAAAAAAUUUGUGUUCUGGCCUGAUAGAGAUAUUUUAAAGAAAACUAUGCAAAAUUCACUUAAAGAAUCUUUUCAUGGAAAUACUACAGGUAUAAUUGACUUUGGACGAAUGUUGGUAUGAAACGAAUUAUUUAUUGUUCUGAAGCUAGUUAUUUGAGGCAUUUUUGUAAUUAACUAUUCUAAUUGGGAAAUAAGCCACAAUUUAACUUAAAAAAUAAUUUUAUUAAUCUUUCGACUUCCAAAUCAGAUGUCAUUGUCAAAAUACAAAAUAUUAUUAUUUAUGCAUAUUAUUACCUGUAAAUAUUUCUUCUGAUUGUGAACCCUUAACUUGGUGGUGUGUACUCCAGGAUACGUUGUUUAUUAUAAUUAAUUUCUCUAUAUAUACGUAAAGUUGCCGCGAGAUUUUAAACGUACCCUCUCCAUAAAGUAUUCGCCUAACCAAUAAAUUAAUUUGAAUGUCAUACACAGAGAUUUCCACCAAUGAGAGAGCGUUUUAUGUAAGCGUGCUAAAAAUGGCUUCCAAAAAAGGUGUUAGUUUGUGUCAUUCCGAAAGUAAAUUCAUUUUUUCAAUGUUUUAAGUUAAUAUAUGAAUUGGUAAACUAUAAUUCUAGAUAAUUAGGUCUGCAAGAAACAAUCGUAUAAAAUAAUUUUCAGGAUUUGUUUAUAAACAAACAGAUAGGAUCACUUUGAAAAGUAGUAUCUCUGAAAAUACAUUGCCAGGUUAGCGGCAAUUUAGAUAGUAUCCUUGAAUAUACAUUGGCAGGUACUGAUGAAAAUUCAAUGAGUAUCUUUUUGGAUACAUCACCCGGUAUACGGACAAAUACUAACUGUUUCUUAUUAGCUACUUUGCCCAUUAGAGAAUUAACAGAAAAGUGAUAAAAACAUUUGGUAUAUUAUGUUUGUAAUGAUUGAUCGUAUGUUCUUAUCUACUCCAAAAGCUUGUAUGUAUGUCCCAGCUUGUAUGUAUGAAUCAUAUGUAUAUCCCGCCAAUAUUUCUUGAAAGUAUUAGUAUAAAAAAAUGUUACAGUAUGUUUUCAUAUUAUCGAAUUCUAUUUUUUACAUAUUAGGUAUAUACAGUGCGUCUAUAAAGUAACGCAUAAAUUCAUUAGAUAUUAUCUAAAUAAACAUAGAAAUUCCCGAAACAGAUCGAUUUUUAUUUUUAAAUUACGAUUUUUUGGCAUAAUACAAGUGACGUCAUCCAUCUGGCCGUGAUGACAUUAUCGAUGACACCGAAAAAGAAGAUUCGUAGUCAUGUCAUAUAUUCGUAGAAUAUACCUGGAGAAGAUGUCAGAAAAGAUCUUUUCGGACACUUUCCAACUUUUACAACCAAAGGACGAUGCCGAAACUGUUGCAAAGGACAAACAGCAAUGAGUUGUACAAAAUGUAGGGCAAGAUUAUGUUUGACGGAAUCCCGUAAUUGUUUUUAUGAUUUUCAUAAUAUCUAAAUUUUGUAAUAUUUUAUACUUAUAAUUACUUUCUACUUUUAUUUUUUGAGUGUACCAAGUUUUAUUUGAAGUUUUGAAUUUAAGUUUUAAAAAUAAGUGUUUGAUCACCAUUGUAGUUUAUUUAUAAUUUAUAAAUGUACAUGAUUAUAUAUUAAUUGAUACAAUACUAUGUGUAUGGUUGAAACCCCUACACAAAAAGCCAUCUAUUCAUAAUUGAAGUAACACAAAACUCCACAAAAUAAAAUGACAACAUUAAACAAAUCUACAAAUGUUUCGCUAAAAGUCUUGAAAAUUCUAAAGACUUUUAGCGGAACAAUUUAUUGUAGAUUUGUUUAUUGUUUUCAUUAUAUUUUGGGGAAUUUUGAUAAUUUUGCUUUAAUUCAAUGACCCAAUAAUAUUUAAUAUAUUGGUUCAAACUACAAAUAUACAUCUUGGCAAUGUAUCUUUCUAGAUACGGAGGUAUUUUUUUAAUAACCUGGCAAUGUAUCUAUUGGGUAUCAGUACUUGUUUUAUAGUGUUCCUGGCAAUGUGUCUUGCGAGGUACAUUGUAAUGUACGGUACGCCUAGUAGUGUAUCUUAUGGGAUACAAUAUGUCAAUAAAAUGUCAAAAAAUUUAAAAUAGAAAAAAAACUGCAAUUGACUCUGAUAAUGGAGCCCUCUAAAAAUGACAUCCAGUAAGCAAAAACAUUUUUCUUACAGCGGUUAUAGGCGCGCCAAGUUAAGGGUUAAUUGUAAAGGAUAGAAAAAUUACCAUUUAUUUUAUUUUUUUUAGAAUCAGCUGAGAGAAGUGGUCUACAAAAACCCAGGAAGGAAACGGAAUAUGUGGCUACGAAAGGCAAAAGAAAGGUUUACAAAGCAAAUGUGACACUUUUUUUGAAAUAUUUAGGAAUAUCAGUAAAUUGCAUUAAAAAAAUGUAUGAAAAGAUUUUGUUCAAUAAAAAUGUUUAUAUUUA
This is a long non-coding RNA of Diabrotica virgifera virgifera (western corn rootworm), 3452 nucleotides long. RefSeq lists it as uncharacterized. NCBI's taxonomy places the organism in Eukaryota, Metazoa, Arthropoda, Insecta, Coleoptera, Chrysomelidae. The transcript has 2 exons. The record is from RefSeq and is a predicted model, not a curated record.